ACUGUGCAAACACGAAAGUGGACGUAUACGGUGUGACGCCUGCCCGGUGCUGGAAGGUUAAUUGAUGGGGUCAGCCGCAAGGCGAAGCUCUUGAUCGAAGCCCCAGUAAACGGCGGCCGUAACUAUAACGGUCCUAAGGUAGCGAAAUUCCUUGUCGGGUAAGUUCCGACCUGCACGAAUGGCGUAAUGAUGGCCAGGCUGUCUCCACCCGAGACUCAGUGAAAUUGAACUCGCUGUGAAGAUGCAGUGUACCCGCGGCAAGACGGAAAGACCCCGUGAACCUUUACUAUAGCUUGACACUGAAUAUUGAGCCUUGAUGUGUAGGAUAGGUGGGAGGCAUCGAAGCGUGGACGCCAGUCUGCGUGGAGCCAACCUUGAAAUACCACCCUUUAAUGUUUGAUGUUCUAACUCGGCCCCAUAAUCUGGGGUGAGGACAGUGUCUGGUGGGUAGUUUGACUGGGGCGGUCUCCUCCCAAAGAGUAACGGAGGAGCACGAAGGUUAGCUAAUCACGGUCGGACAUCGUGAGGUUAGUGCAAAGGCAUAAGCUAGCUUGACUGCGAGAGUGACGGCUCGAGCAGGUACGAAAGUAGGUCUUAGUGAUCCGGUGGUUCUGAAUGGAAGGGCCAUCGCUCAACGGAUAAAAGGUACUCCGGGGAUAACAGGCUGAUACCGCCCAAGAGUUCAUAUCGACGGCGGUGUUUGGCACCUCGAUGUCGGCUCAUCACAUCCUGGGGCUGAAGUAGGUCCCAAGGGUAUGGCUGUUCGCCAUUUAAAGUGGUACGCGAGCUGGGUUUAGAACGUCGUGAGACAGUUCGGUCCCUAUCUGCCGUGGGCGUUGGAAGAUUGAGAGGGGCUGCUCCUAGUACGAGAGGACCGGAGUGGACGCAUCACUGGUGUUCGGGUUGUCAUGCCAAUGGCAUUGCCCGGUAGCUAAAUGCGGAAAAGAUAAGCGCUGAAAGCAUCUAAGCGCGAAACUUGCCUCGAGAUGAGUCUUCCCUGGGGCUUUAAGCCCCCUGAAGGAACGUUAAAGACUAUGACGUUGAUAGGCUGGGUGUGUAAGUGCAGCGAUGCAUUGAGCUAACCAGUACUAAUGAUCCGUGAGGCUUAACCUUACAACACCGAAGGUGUUU
RNAcentral lists this ribosomal RNA (1131 nucleotides) under Yersinia ruckeri. RNAcentral describes it as "bacterial LSU rRNA". It matches the Rfam family "Bacterial large subunit ribosomal RNA", at positions 1820 to 2925 of the family's 2925-position model. The record is from RNAcentral. Lineage: Bacteria; Pseudomonadati; Pseudomonadota; Gammaproteobacteria; Enterobacterales; Yersiniaceae.